RNAcentral lists this ribosomal RNA (437 nucleotides) under uncultured bacterium. Its description in RNAcentral is "partial 16S ribosomal RNA". It matches the Rfam family "Bacterial small subunit ribosomal RNA", at positions 29 to 507 of the family's 1533-position model. The record is from RNAcentral.
AGCGAACGCUGGCGGCAGGCUUAACACAUGCAAGUCGAGCGGGCAUCCUUGUGGUGUCAGCGGCAGACGGGUGAGUAACGCGUGGGAACGUGCCCUUCGGUUCGGAAUAACUCAGGGAAACUUGAGCUAAUGCCGGAUACGUGCGAGAGCAGAAAGGUUUAUCUGCCGAAGGAUCGGCCCGCGUCUGAUUAGCUAGUUGGUGAGGUUAUGGCUCACCAAGGCGACGAUCAGUAGCUGGUCUGAGAGGAUGAUCAGCCACACUGGGACUGAGACACGGCCCAGACUCCUACGGGAGGCAGCAGUGGGGAAUAUUGGACAAUGGGGGCAACCCUGAUCCAGCCAUGCCGCGUGAGUGAUGACGGCCUUAGGGUUGUAAAGCUCUUUUCUUCGGGACGAUAAUGACGGUACCGGAGGAAUAAGCCCCGGCUAACUUCGUG